GCCUACUGGGGAUAGCUCAAUUGGCAGAGUGUGAGACUCAGGGUUGUGGGUUUGAGUCCCACAUGGGGCA
This is a non-coding RNA of Podarcis lilfordi (Lilford's wall lizard), 70 nucleotides long. NCBI's taxonomy places the organism in Eukaryota, Metazoa, Chordata, Lepidosauria, Squamata, Lacertidae. The record is from the annotation of a GenBank genome assembly.